This 477-nucleotide ribosomal RNA is filed under the name Triticum aestivum (bread wheat). Its description in RNAcentral is "partial small subunit ribosomal RNA". Lineage: Eukaryota; Viridiplantae; Streptophyta; Magnoliopsida; Poales; Poaceae. The record is from RNAcentral.
AUGUCCCAUUAUCCAUUCGAUCGUAGUUUUCACCCUAAGAUGAGCAGCACUCUGCUGAGUCUAGCUACCGAUUUCAGGAUGGACAAUAGGAUAGUUCCAUGGGACGAACUCACCAGUAGUGACACCAUAAUGAAUGAGUUGGCUCACCAACUACGUAGGUCUGGGUGGCCUGAAAGGACCUAUGAGGAGGUACGUCAAGAACUUCUUAGGUUGCAUGAAAGGUGGAAGAAGUUGGUGGAGCCGAAGAGUGAAACUUUCAGAAGGACUGCAGAAAAGCAUCCAUUUUUAUGGACUGAGGAGAGCGAGGACGACGAUGAUAUCUUCAUGUCGCCGCUUCCGGGUUCUGCAUCCGCGAAGGGCAAGAGUUCUGUAUCGACCAAGGGCAAGAGUUCUGCAUCGACGAAAGGCAAGAAGAGCGCAUCGUCGAAGGGCAAGAGGGCUGCAUCAACGGAGGAUGACGAUGAUGACUUCAUGUAG